RNAcentral lists this ribosomal RNA (305 nucleotides) under uncultured bacterium. RNAcentral describes it as "bacterial SSU rRNA". It matches the Rfam family "Bacterial small subunit ribosomal RNA", at positions 333 to 655 of the family's 1533-position model. The record is from RNAcentral.
UAUGGCCUACGGGAGGCAGCAGUGGGGGAUAUUGCACAAUGGGGGGAACCCUGAUGCAGCGACGCCGCGUGAGCGAAGAAGUACCUCGGUAUGUAAAGCUCUAUCAGCAGGGAAGAAAAUGACGGUACCUGACUAAGAAGCCCCGGCUAACUACGUGCCAGCAGCCGCGGUAAUACGUAGGGGGCAAGCGUUAUCCGGAUUUACUGGGUGUAAAGGGAGCGUAGACGGCAUAGCAAGUCUGAAGUGAAAGCCCAAGGCUCAACCAUGGGACUGCUUUGGAAACUGUUAAGCUAGAGUGCUGGUGA